ACAAAAACAUCUCUUCUUGUUAGUUUUUGAAGUAUGGCCUGCCCACUGACGCUUAUUUGUUGAAGGGCCGCGGUAUUUUGACCGUGCAAAGGUAGCAUAAUCAUUAGUUCUUUAAUUGUGAUCUGGUAUGAAUGGCUUGACGAGACAUGAACUGUCUUAAAUGGAUAUUUGAUUGAACUUGGUCUUUGAGUUAAAAUUCUUAAAUGUUUUUAUGGGACGAGAAGACCCUAUAGAGUUUGACACUUAAGGUUUCUUUAACAUUGUUUUGUUUGUUUCAUUUUAUUAAGUAAUUUAAGUGUUUUGUUGGGGUGAUGGGAAGAAUUUAUUUAACUCUUCUUUAUUUUGUAUAUUUAUUUAUAAAUUUUUGAUCCAUUUAUGUUGAUUAUAAGAUUAAAUUACCUUAGGGAUAACAGCGUUAUCUUCCCUGAGAGUUCUUAUUGGCGGGGGGGUUUGCGACCUCGAUGUUGGAUUAAGGUGAAUUUUCGGUGUAGGAGCUGAAAGUGAUUG
RNAcentral lists this ribosomal RNA (507 nucleotides) under Anoplotermes group sp. 6 RCD-2018. Its description in RNAcentral is "partial 16S ribosomal RNA". It matches the Rfam family "Bacterial large subunit ribosomal RNA", at positions 1807 to 2574 of the family's 2925-position model. Lineage: Eukaryota; Metazoa; Arthropoda; Insecta; Blattodea; Termitidae. The record is from RNAcentral.